GUUUUCAAUGGCUUGUUAAACAUACCAGAGCUUAAAUGCUGAACAGCCGUUGCCGUUAUUUUCCCCUCACUGUUGCUCCAGCAUUCACUAGGUGAAGUCCUACUUUUCAAAAUCAGAAAGCUUUCUCUGUGGACCCUGUAGGACGUCUGCGAGUCAGUUGGCAAGUGAUUCAGCUCAAGUAAAGUGUCCUGCUCAUCUGAAGCCUUUUUGUGGAUCUUCCACCAGCCUUGUGAAGAGCCCAGAACAGUUUGGUGGUGGCUGUUAAGUGAAGAUGUCUCUCCCGUUGGUAGUGCUCAUAUGUCUGUCAGCUAUCCAGCUGUGUCUGGGAGAUCAGCCUGUGGAGGAAGUCGUCACAACAA
Cottoperca gobio is the source of this 359-nucleotide long non-coding RNA. RefSeq lists it as uncharacterized. The transcript has 2 exons. NCBI's taxonomy places the organism in Eukaryota, Metazoa, Chordata, Actinopteri, Perciformes, Bovichtidae. The record is from RefSeq and is a predicted model, not a curated record.